This is an RNA transcript of Salvia hispanica, 908 nucleotides long. It is a transcript of the gene named receptor-like protein EIX2, with no coding region annotated. The record is from RefSeq and is a predicted model, not a curated record. Lineage: Eukaryota; Viridiplantae; Streptophyta; Magnoliopsida; Lamiales; Lamiaceae.
UCUGUUGCAUUCCGGCACAAUUAUCUUGCACCUCAUAUUGAGCGCUUUGGAUAUUCAUCAUUACAUUGGAAAGGUAAGGAACGUGAGUAUUGGGAAAAUAUCAUGUUUCUCAAACUCAUUGAUUUUUCGAGCAAUAGAUUGACCGGAAACAUUCCCAAAUCAUUUUCCACUAUGAGAGGAUUGAUAUCCUUGAAUUUGUCAAGAAAUAGUUUGACCGGGCAUAUAAUUCCAGAUAUUGGUAAUAUGCAUAUGCUAGAUUCUCUUGAUCUAUCUCAUAACCAACUCUUGGGCAAGAUACCUACAAGUUUGGCAGAAAUACACACUCUUGGUUUUCUUGAUCUGUCGAACAACAAUUUGUCCGGAAAAAUCCCAACGGGUACUCAACUGCAGAGCUUCAAUGCAUCAUCUUAUGCUGAUAAUGAUGGACUAUGUGGCGACCCUCUGCCAAACUGCCCCACCAAUAAUCCAUGGGACAACAUGAAUGAGAAAGAUGGCAACAACUUCUCAUUUAUGGAAGAAGUUGGCAUAUCAAUGGGCUUUGGUUUUAUCUUUGGAUUUUGGGGAGUCAUUGGUUCAUUCAUACUGAAGAAGUCAUGGAGAAUUGCAUUCUUCAACUUCUUUGAUGCUGCUGGAGAUUGGUUCUACGUUAGGAUUGUUGUGUUCGUAUCCAAAUGGAAAUGGAGAUGAAGAUGAAAUGCAGCGGUGAAAGUUGAAACUGCACGCAUUGGUGUUUAAUUAAAGUGAACGACGCUCAGGACCAGUGAUCUUUCCAAGUUAAUGUAGUAAUUUUGUUGUUUUUAUCAUCUCUUUUUGUGUGAAUUGUGUCAAUCUUAUUUCACCUUAUUUAGUUAUUUUUCCUUUGGUUUGUAUUUGUUUUCUUCUAUAAAUGAAUGUUUGUGUUUUUAUAA